Mauremys reevesii (Reeves's turtle) is the source of this 917-nucleotide long non-coding RNA. RefSeq lists it as uncharacterized. Lineage: Eukaryota; Metazoa; Chordata; Testudines; Geoemydidae. The transcript is spliced from 3 exons. The record is from RefSeq and is a predicted model, not a curated record.
GAAAAAGCUAAGGAACAGGAAAGUUACACAGCACUUUAGUGGUGAAACUGGGAAUCAAACCCAGCUUCUUUAGCAUUUAGAUGGAUGCCCUAACCAUUAGGCCACAUUUAACUUCCCACUGUUAUUAUCUGUCACAACUAGCUCUGGCCUGAUCUCCUCAGCUGUCUAUAUUAAGAAGGGGGGGGGGGGAACUCCCUCUACAGAUACCCAGAAUUCCACUGCUGCCUUCAAGACACCUCACCCCACAAACCCAUCUUCCUCCAAGCCCUGACAGAACAACAGCUGCUUUUCAAGAAGCACUAGAAGAGUAUCUUGAAGUCCCAGGUGUGAAGAAAUGAAUGAGCACGUAGCUAUCUAGUACCUUCAGGUGUAAGCAGACACCACCUGUCAAGACAGAGGAUGAGCACUCUGCUAAUCAGAACUGCCAGGGAACCAACAUAUCAGUUAUUCACCCACUGCUAAUUAUAAUGCUCUGGAUAUUCUUGAUGUCUAUAAAAAUGACAAGAUUCAAAAGGGAACUGGACAAGUUCUUGGCAUCACUGACUUCUGUGGCAAUGAGUUUCACAAUGUAUGAAAAAGAAUGUCCUUCUAUCAAUUUUGAAUGUCCCAUAUUUAAAUUUCACUCAAUGUCCCCUUGUUUUUGUGUUAUGGGACAGCGAGAAGUUUCUUAUAAACCUUCUCAACAUUAUUCAUUAUUUUAUAUUGUGGUUUCAUGUUCCCUCUUACCACCUUUCUAUGGAAAAUAAUCCCACGCUUUUCCAUCUCUCAUCAUAUGAAUGUUUUUCUAGGCCCUUGAUCAUUCUUGUUGGUCCUCCCCUCUAAUUCUGCAAUAUCCUUUUUGAGAUUGGGGUGACAGUACUACAUAUAGUAUUCCAGAUGAGGCUGUACCAUUGAUUUUAUAUGAAUGCAUUAUAAAA